This 478-nucleotide ribosomal RNA is filed under the name uncultured bacterium. RNAcentral's name for it is "partial 16S ribosomal RNA". It matches the Rfam family "Bacterial small subunit ribosomal RNA", at positions 28 to 507 of the family's 1533-position model. The record is from RNAcentral.
GAUGAACGCUGGCGGCGUGCUUAACACAUGCAAGUCGAACGAGAAGUGAAGACGGAAACCUUCGGGCGGAAGGCUUUAUUUCGAGUGGCGGACGGGUGAGUAACGCGUGGGUAACCUGCCUCAUACAGGGGGAUAACAGUUGGAAACGACUGUUAAUACCGCAUAAGACCACAGCACCGCAUGGUGCGGGGGUAAAAACUCCGGUGGUAUGAGAUGGACCCGCGUUCGAUUAGCCAGUUGGCGGGGUAACGGCCCACCAAAGCGACGAUCGAUAGCCGAUCUGAGAGGAUGACCGGCCACAUUGGGACUGAGACACGGCCCAAACUCCUACGGGAGGCAGCAGUGGGGAAUAUUGCACAAUGGGGGAAACCCUGAUGCAGCGACGCCGCGUGAGUGAAGAAGUAUUUCGGUAUGUAAAGCUCGAUCAGCAGGGAAGAAAAUGACGGUACCUGAGGAAGAAGCCCCGGCUAACUACGUG